CGCGAAGUAGUGUAAAGGUAACAUAUCGGUCUCAUGAUCCGAAGUCACUAGGUUCAAUUCCAGUCUUCGCUU
RNAcentral lists this transfer RNA (72 nucleotides) under Enterococcus faecium. RNAcentral's name for it is "tRNA-Met". It matches the Rfam family "tRNA". From Rfam's summary of the family: Transfer RNA (tRNA) molecules are approximately 80 nucleotides in length. Their secondary structure includes four short double-helical elements and three loops (D, anti-codon, and T loops). Lineage: Bacteria; Bacillati; Bacillota; Bacilli; Lactobacillales; Enterococcaceae. The record is from RNAcentral. RNAcentral also lists the same sequence under 4 other names.